This 1343-nucleotide ribosomal RNA is filed under the name uncultured bacterium. RNAcentral describes it as "16S ribosomal RNA". It matches the Rfam family "Bacterial small subunit ribosomal RNA", at positions 28 to 1378 of the family's 1533-position model. The record is from RNAcentral.
GACGAACGCUGGCGGCGUGCUUAACACAUGCAAGUCGAACGGAAAGGCCCUGCUUUUGUGGGGUGCUCGAGUGGCGAACGGGUGAGUAACACGUGAGUAACCUGCCCUUGACUUUGGGAUAACUUCAGGAAACUGGGGCUAAUACCGGAUAGGAGCUCCUGCUGCAUGGUGGGGGUUGGAAAGUUUCGGCGGUUGGGGAUGGACUCGCGGCUUAUCAGCUUGUUGGUGGGGUAGUGGCUUACCAAGGCUUUGACGGGUAGCCGGCCUGAGAGGGUGACCGGCCACAUUGGGACUGAGAUACGGCCCAGACUCCUACGGGAGGCAGCAGUGGGGAAUAUUGCACAAUGGGCGGAAGCCUGAUGCAGCAACGCCGCGUGCGGGAUGACGGCCUUCGGGUUGUAAACCGCUUUCGCCUGUGACGAAGCGUGAGUGACGGUAAUGGGUAAAGAAGCACCGGCUAACUACGUGCCAGCAGCCGCGGUGAUACGUAGGGUGCGAGCGUUGUCCGGAUUUAUUGGGCGUAAAGGGCUCGUAGGUGGUUGAUCGCGUCGGAAGUGUAAUCUUGGGGCUUAACCCUGAGCGUGCUUUCGAUACGGGUUGACUUGAGGAAGGUAGGGGAGAAUGGAAUUCCUGGUGGAGCGGUGGAAUGCGCAGAUAUCAGGAGGAACACCAGUGGCGAAGGCGGUUCUCUGGGCCUUUCCUGACGCUGAGGAGCGAAAGCGUGGGGAGCGAACAGGCUUAGAUACCCUGGUAGUCCACGCUGUAAACGGUGGGUACUAGGUGUGGGGUCCAUUCCACGGGUUCCGUGCCGUAGCUAACGCUUUAAGUACCCCGCCUGGGGAGUACGGCCGCAAGGCUAAAACUCAAAGGAAUUGACGGGGCCCCGCACAAGCGGCGGAGCAUGCGGAUUAAUUCGAUGCAACGCGUAGAACCUUACCUGGGUUUGACAUGGAUCGGGAGUGCUCAGAGAUGGGUGUGCCUCUUUUGGGGUCGGUUCACAGGUGGUGCAUGGCUGUCGCCAGCUCGUGUCGUGAGAUGUUGGGUUAAGUCCCGCAACGAGCGCAACCCUUGUUCACUGUUGCCAGCACGUUAUGGUGGGGACUCAGUGGAGACCACCGGGGUCAACUCGGAGGAAGGUGGGGAUGACGUCAAGUCAUCAUGCCCCUUAUGUCCAGGGCUUCACGCAUGCUACAAUGGCUGGUACAGAGAGUGGCGAGCCUGUGAGGGUGAGCGAAUCUCGGAAAGCCGGUCUCAGUUCGGAUUGGGGUCUGCAACUCGACCUCAUGAAGUCGGAGUCGCUAGUAAUCGCAGAUCAGCAACGCUGCGGUGAAUACGUUCCCGGG